RNAcentral lists this ribosomal RNA (461 nucleotides) under uncultured bacterium. Its description in RNAcentral is "bacterial SSU rRNA". It matches the Rfam family "Bacterial small subunit ribosomal RNA", at positions 29 to 484 of the family's 1533-position model. The record is from RNAcentral.
AACGAACGCUGGCGGCGCGCCUAAUACAUGCAAGUCGAGCGAGAAGACGUAGCAAUACGUUUGUAAAGCGGCGAACGGGUGAGGAAUACAUGGGUAACCUACCCUCGAGUGGGGAAUAACUAGCCGAAAGGUUAGCUAAUACCGCGUACGCUCCUUGGACUUCGGUUCAGGGAGGAAAGCGAUACCGUGGGUAUUGCGCUCUUGGACGGGCUCAUGUCCUAUCAGCUUGUUGGUGAGGUAACGGCUCACCAAGGCUUCGACGGGUAGCUGGUCUGAGAGGACGAUCAGCCACACUGGCACUGCGACACGGGCCAGACUCCUACGGGAGGCAGCAGUAAGGAAUAUUGCGCAAUGGGCGAAAGCCUGACGCAGCGACGCCGCGUGGGGGAUGAAGGUCUCGGAUUGUAAACCCCUUUCGGGAGGGAAGAUGGAACGAGCAAUCGUUCGGACGGUACCUCCCG